AUGAGGAUUACAGAAGGAGAGAGGGGGUUUCAGGCUGUGCCCUGGCCAAAGGCCUGGUGGAACAGCUCUGCCUUGCAGGCCCUGCGGAAAGAUGUCAAGUCCCGCAGGGCCCUAGUCUCUUGUGACAGAGCCUUCCACCAGAUCGGGGCCACGGCCGAAAAAGCCCUGGCUCUGGUUGAGGCCAGCCUGACUUCUCUGUGGCCUGGGACCUCCAAGGUGUUUUUGUUUAAAGACCGUAAGGUCCUCCGUGGGACAUACCAGGAGAGGCGGUCCCAAAUGAUGAGAGGAUUGGACAAAUCCAUGGAGGAGGAGGAGGAGGAGGAGAAGCCUAUCAGUGGUCCCAGAGGCUGGAAACCACAGGGGCAAGGGGGCUGCCCUUGUGCUAGGGCCCCACUUUCAGGUUUCCCAGCAGGCUGGACCCCAGGGACGCGGGACGAGUUGGGCCAUUGGGCUGGUCCUGCAUCCUCUUCCUUGGUUCUUAGGAUACUGGUGGCUCUGGAGACCACGCUGCCUCUUGCGAAUUGCUUGAGCUCACCCCCAAAGGCGCAUUCCUCCGUUGUCUUCCGAAACGGACGGAUGCCAACAGCCACAGGUGCCCAGAGAGAGACCCAGUUUGUCCGGAGCCCGGUGUCCCCAUCCAGGCUGGCAUCUCCUGCGGCUUCUUCGCCGCCGCCGGCUGAGGGGCAUUGCCCAAAGAGAAGCCCCCUCCCUACCAUCUCCUCCUCCUCCUGGGCCCCGUCAUCCUCCUGGCAGCUCCCAGCUCCCUUGCGCCAGCAGCAGAGUCUCCCUCAGGCUCUCCCUCGAGAACAAAAUACUCCCUUCUUCUCCGCCUCGUGCCGCCCUCUCCGGAUCGUAUGGCUGACAAAACGUUUACCCAGCUGGGCCCUCCCGGCGCAUACAGUGGGCAUCUGUGUCUGGGGCAGGGUCAUGUGCACCAGCUGUUCUGUCACUAUUGUGAACUUGGGGGGAGAGGCUGGCUCCGUUCCGCCAUCUGCCAGGCUGCUGCAGCACCCUCCUCUCUCUGCCUGCCCCCCACCCCAUGAAAACGCUGCAUGGGGAGAUGGGGGCAGCAGCACAGGUGAGCUGAUCCACAUCCUCAGAGCACCAUUUGCAGACAGGUCGAGCGUCUGCUGA
This 1134-nucleotide long non-coding RNA is filed under the name Podarcis muralis (Common wall lizard). Its description in RNAcentral is "lncRNA (ENSPMRG00000018393.1)". Lineage: Eukaryota; Metazoa; Chordata; Lepidosauria; Squamata; Lacertidae. The record is from RNAcentral.